This 459-nucleotide ribosomal RNA is filed under the name uncultured bacterium. RNAcentral describes it as "partial 16S ribosomal RNA". It matches the Rfam family "Bacterial small subunit ribosomal RNA", at positions 338 to 795 of the family's 1533-position model. The record is from RNAcentral.
CCUACGGGGGGCAGCAGUGAGGAAUAUUGGUCAAUGGCCGGAAGGCUGAACCAGCCAAGCCGCGUGAAGGACGAAGGUGCCAAGCAUUGUAAACUUCUUUUGUCAAGGGACAAAAUCAGGCACGAGAGGCUGAUCGAGGGUACUUGAAGAAAAAGCAUCGGCUAAUUCCGUGCCAGCAGCCGCGGUAAUACGGAGGAUGCGAGCGUUAUCCGGAUUUAUUGGGUUUAAAGGGUGCGUAGGCGGACUGUUAAGUCAGCGGUAAAAGCCCGGGGCUCAACCCCGGCGAGCCGUUGGAACUGGGUGUCUUGAGAUGGCGGGAGGUAUGCGGAAUGCGCAGUGUAGCGGUGAAAUGCUUAGAUAUUGCGCAGAACUCCGAUUGCGAAGGCAGCAUACCGGCGGCGUUCUGACGCUGAGGCACGAAGGCGUGGGUAUCGAACAGGAUUAGAUACCCCUGUAGUC